This 253-nucleotide ribosomal RNA is filed under the name uncultured bacterium. RNAcentral describes it as "partial 16S ribosomal RNA". It matches the Rfam family "Bacterial small subunit ribosomal RNA", at positions 524 to 776 of the family's 1533-position model. The record is from RNAcentral.
UACGUAGGGCGCAAGCGUUAUCCGGAAUUAUUGGGCGUAAAGAGCUCGUAGGCGGUUUGUCGCGUCUGCCGUGAAAGUCCGGGGCUCAACUCCGGAUCUGCGGUGGGUACGGGCAGACUAGAGUGCAGUAGGGGAGACUGGAAUUCCUGGUGUAGCGGUGGAAUGCGCAGAUAUCAGGAGGAACACCGGUGGCGAAGGCGGGUCUCUGGGCUGUAACUGACGCUGAGGAGCGAAAGCGUGGGUAGCGAACAGG